RNAcentral lists this ribosomal RNA (700 nucleotides) under uncultured bacterium. Its description in RNAcentral is "bacterial SSU rRNA". It matches the Rfam family "Bacterial small subunit ribosomal RNA", at positions 8 to 714 of the family's 1533-position model. The record is from RNAcentral.
AGAGUUUGAUCCUGGCUCAGGAUGAACGCUGGCGGCGUGCCUAAUGCAUGCAAGUCGAGCGACGCAUACCGGAGGGGUAACCCACUGGUAUGACGGAGCGGCGAACGGGUGAGUAACACGUGAGCAACCUGCCCCACAGACCGGGAUAGCCCAGGGAAACCUGGAUUAAUACCGGAUACCCUCGGACAACCACCUGGUUGACCGAGGAAAUGCCUUUGUGCUGUGGGAUGGGCUCGCGGCUUAUCAGCUAGUUGGUGGGGUAACGGCCUACCAAGGCAUCGACGAGUAGCUGGUCUGAGAGGACGAGCAGCCACACUGGAACUGAGACACGGUCCAGACUCCUACGGGAGGCAGCAGCAGGGAAUCUUGCGCAAUGGGCGAAAGCCUGACGCAGCAACGCCGCGUGGGGGAUGAAGGCCUUCGGGUUGUAAACCCCUUUCAGGAGGGAAGAAAUAGACGGUACCUCCAAAAGAAGGACCGGCCAACUACGUGCCAGCAGCCGCGGUAAUACGUAGGGUCCGAGCGUUAUCCGGAAUCAUUGGGCGUAAAGAGCUCGUAGGCGGUUCAGCAAGUCGGCUGUGAAAGUCUGAGGCUCAACCUCAGAAUAGCAGUCGAUACUGCUGUGACUCGAGUCCGGUAGAGGAGAAUGGAAUUCUCGGUGUAGCGGUGAAAUGCGCAGAUAUCGAGAGGAACACCAGUA